CACGUAGGGUGCGAGCGUUAAUCGGAAUUACUGGGCGUAAAGCGUGCGUAGGCGGUUCCUCAAGUCCGUUGUGAAAGCCCCGGGCUCAACCUGGGAAUGGCAGUGGAAACUAGGGGACUGGAAUCUGGCAGAGGGGGGUGGAAUGCCGCGUGUAGCAGUGAAAUGCGUAGAGAUGCGGCGGAACACCGAUGGCGAAGGCAGCCCCCUGGGCUGAGAUUGACGCUCAGGCACGAAAGCGUGGGGAGCAAACAGG
This 253-nucleotide ribosomal RNA is filed under the name uncultured bacterium. Its description in RNAcentral is "partial 16S ribosomal RNA". It matches the Rfam family "Bacterial small subunit ribosomal RNA", at positions 524 to 776 of the family's 1533-position model. The record is from RNAcentral.